RNAcentral lists this ribosomal RNA (460 nucleotides) under uncultured bacterium. RNAcentral describes it as "partial 16S ribosomal RNA". It matches the Rfam family "Bacterial small subunit ribosomal RNA", at positions 338 to 795 of the family's 1533-position model. The record is from RNAcentral.
CCUACGGGGUGCUGCAGUGAGGAAUAUUGGUCAAUGGACGAGAGUCUGAACCAACCAAGUAGCGUGAAGGAUGACUGCCCUAUGGGUUGUAAACUUCUUUUAUAUGGGAAUAAAAUGUUCCACGUGUGGGAUUUUGUAUGUACCAUAUGAAUAAGGAUCGGCUAACUCCGUGCCAGCAGCCGCGGUAAUACGGAGGAUCCGAGCGUUAUCCGGAUUUAUUGGGUUUAAAGGGAGCGUAGGUGGAUUGUUAAGUCAGUUGUGAAAGUUUGCGGCUCAACCGUAAAAUUGCAGUUGAAACUGGCAGUCUUGAGUACAGUAGAGGUGGGCGGAAUUCGUGGUGUAGCGGUGAAAUGCUUAGAUAUCACGAAGAACUCCGAUUGCGAAGGCAGUUCACUGGACUGCAACUGACACUGAGGCUCGAAAGUGUGGGUAUCAAACAGGAUUAGAUACCCGUGUAGUC